UCUAAUAUGGCAGAAUAGUGCAUUGGAUUUAAGCUCCAAAUAUAAAUUUAAUUUUUUUAGAA
RNAcentral lists this transfer RNA (62 nucleotides) under Downesia tarsata. RNAcentral describes it as "tRNA-Leu". It matches the Rfam family "tRNA". From Rfam's summary of the family: Transfer RNA (tRNA) molecules are approximately 80 nucleotides in length. Their secondary structure includes four short double-helical elements and three loops (D, anti-codon, and T loops). Lineage: Eukaryota; Metazoa; Arthropoda; Insecta; Coleoptera; Chrysomelidae. The record is from RNAcentral.